This 630-nucleotide ribosomal RNA is filed under the name Listeria monocytogenes. RNAcentral's name for it is "partial 23S ribosomal RNA". It matches the Rfam family "Bacterial large subunit ribosomal RNA", at positions 683 to 1309 of the family's 2925-position model. Lineage: Bacteria; Bacillati; Bacillota; Bacilli; Caryophanales; Listeriaceae. The record is from RNAcentral.
CUGAAUAGGGCGCAUAAGUAACAGGUCGUAGACCCGAAACCAGGUGAUCUACCCAUGUCCAGGAUGAAGGUAAGGUAAUACUUACUGGAGGUCCGAACCCACGCACGUUGAAAAGUGCGGGGAUGAGGUGUGGGUAGCGGAGAAAUUCCAAUCGAACUUGGAGAUAGCUGGUUCUCUCCGAAAUAGCUUUAGGGCUAGCCUCGAGGUAAAGAGUCAUGGAGGUAGAGCACUGUUUGGACUAGGGGCCCUUCUCGGGUUACCGAAUUCAGAUAAACUCCGAAUGCCAUGUACUUAUACUCGGGAGUCAGACUGCGAGUGAUAAGAUCCGUAGUCGAAAGGGAAACAGCCCAGACCACCAGUUAAGGUCCCCAAAUAUAUGUUAAGUGGAAAAGGAUGUGGGGUUGCUUAGACAACCAGGAUGUUGGCUUAGAAGCAGCCACCAUUGAAAGAGUGCGUAAUAGCUCACUGGUCGAGUGACCCCGCGCCGAAAAUGUACCGGGGCUAAACAUAUUACCGAAACUGUGGAUGAACCUCUUUAGAGGUUCGUGGUAGGAGAGCGUUCUAAGGGCGGUGAAGUCAGACCGGAAGGACUGGUGGAGCGCUUAGAAGUGAGAAUGCCGGUAUGAGUAG